AAAUUGAAGAGUUUGAUCAUGGCUCAGAUUGAACGCUGGCGGCAGGCCUAACACAUGCAAGUCGAGCGGAAACGAGUUGUCUGAACCUUCGGGGAACGAUAACGGGCGUCGAGCGGCGGACGGGUGAGUAAUGCCUAGGAAAUUGCCCUGAUGUGGGGGAUAACCAUUGAAACGAUGGCUAAUACCGCAUGAUGCCUACGGGCCAAAGAGGGGGACCUUCGGGCCUCUCGCGUCAGGAUAUGCCUAGGUGGGAUUAGCUAGUUGGUGAGGUAAGGGCUCACCAAGGCGACGAUCCCUAGCUGGUCUGAGAGGAUGAUCAGCCACACUGGAACUGAGACACGGUCCAGACUCCUACGGGAGGCAGCAGUGGGGAAUAUUGCACAAUGGGCGCAAGCCUGAUGCAGCCAUGCCGCGUGUGUGAAGAAGGCCUUCGGGUUGUAAAGCACUUUCAGUUGUGAGGAAGGCGGUGUAGUUAAUAGCUGCAUCGUUUGACGUUAGCGACAGAAGAAGCACCGGCUAACUCCGUGCCAGCAGCCGCGGUAAUACGGAGGGUGCGAGCGUUAAUCGGAAUUACUGGGCGUAAAGCGCAUGCAGGUGGUUUGUUAAGUCAGAUGUGAAAGCCCGGGGCUCAACCUCGGAAUUGCAUUUGAAACUGGCAGACUAGAGUACUGUAGAGGGGGGUAGAAUUUCAGGUGUAGCGGUGAAAUGCGUAGAGAUCUGAAGGAAUACCGGUGGCGAAGGCGGCCCCCUGGACAGAUACUGACACUCAGAUGCGAAAGCGUGGGGAGCAAACAGGAUUAGAUACCCUGGUAGUCCACGCCGUAAACGAUGUCUACUUGGAGGUUGUGGCCUUGAGCCGUGGCUUUCGGAGCUAACGCGUUAAGUAGACCGCCUGGGGAGUACGGUCGCAAGAUUAAAACUCAAAUGAAUUGACGGGGGCCCGCACAAGCGGUGGAGCAUGUGGUUUAAUUCGAUGCAACGCGAAGAACCUUACCUACUCUUGACAUCCAGAGAACUUUCCAGAGAUGGAUUGGUGGCCUUCGGGAACUCUGAGACAGGUGCUGCAUGGCUGUCGUCAGCUCGUGUUGUGAAAUGUUGGGUUAAGUCCCGCAACGAGCGCAACCCUUAUCCUUGUUUGCCAGCGAGUAAUGUCGGGAACUCCAGGGAGACUGCCGGUGAUAAACCGGAGGAAGGUGGGGACGACGUCAAGUCAUCAUGGCCCUUACGAGUAGGGCUACACACGUGCUACAAUGGCGCAUACAGAGGGCGGCCAACUUGCGAAAGUGAGCGAAUCCCAAAAAGUGCGUCGUAGUCCGGAUUGGAGUCUGCAACUCGACUCCAUGAAGUCGGAAUCGCUAGUAAUCGUGGAUCAGAAUGCCACGGUGAAUACGUUCCCGGGCCUUGUACACACCGCCCGUCACACCAUGGGAGUGGGCUGCAAAAGAAGUAGGUAGUUUAACCUUCGGGGGGACGCUUACCACUUUGUGGUUCAUGACUGGGGUGAAGUCGUAACAAGGUAGCGCUAGGGGAACCUGGCGCUGGAUCACCUCCUUAAACGAUGAU
Molecule: ribosomal RNA, 1563 nt
Filed under: Vibrio parahaemolyticus O1:Kuk str. FDA_R31
Lineage: Bacteria; Pseudomonadati; Pseudomonadota; Gammaproteobacteria; Vibrionales; Vibrionaceae
Description: bacterial SSU rRNA
Rfam family: Bacterial small subunit ribosomal RNA
Source: RNAcentral